RNAcentral lists this ribosomal RNA (665 nucleotides) under Nocardia sp. RNAcentral describes it as "bacterial SSU rRNA". It matches the Rfam family "Bacterial small subunit ribosomal RNA", at positions 106 to 785 of the family's 1533-position model. Lineage: Bacteria; Bacillati; Actinomycetota; Actinomycetes; Mycobacteriales; Nocardiaceae. The record is from RNAcentral.
GUGAGUAACACGUGGGUGAUCUGCCUCGUACUUCGGGAUAAGCCUGGGAAACUGGGUCUAAUACCGGAUAUGACCAUGGGAUGCAUGUCUUGUGGUGGAAAGAUUUAUCGGUACGAGAUGGGCCCGCGGCCUAUCAGCUUGUUGGUGGGGUAAUGGCCUACCAAGGCGACGACGGGUAGCCGGCCUGAGAGGGCGACCGGCCACACUGGGACUGAGACACGGCCCAGACUCCUACGGGAGGCAGCAGUGGGGAAUAUUGCACAAUGGGCGAAAGCCUGAUGCAGCGACGCCGCGUGAGGGAUGACGGCCUUCGGGUUGUAAACCUCUUUCGACAGGGACGAAGCGCAAGUGACGGUACCUGUAGAAGAAGCACCGGCCAACUACGUGCCAGCAGCCGCGGUAAUACGUAGGGUGCGAGCGUUGUCCGGAAUUACUGGGCGUAAAGAGCUUGUAGGCGGUUCGUCGCGUCGUUCGUGAAAACUUGGGGCUCAACCCCAAGCUUGCGGGCGAUACGGGCGGACUAGAGUACUUCAGGGGAGACUGGAAUUCCUGGUGUAGCGGUGAAAUGCGCAGAUAUCAGGAGGAACACCGGUGGCGAAGGCGGGUCUCUGGGAAGUAACUGACGCUGAGAAGCGAAAGCGUGGGUAGCGAACAGGAUUAGAUAC